AGCAGAGCUGUGCCAAAGUACUUUGACAACAUCAAGCUACUGACUGUAUUUAGCACCUAACUUAUGAUCACGACUUUGCUCAUCAGCAUAAUGAAUAAAUACCUUUGUGAUAUAUAUCUUUUCUUUUUUUUUUUUUUUUUUUUUUUUUUCUUCAGAGAAAAGUGAUGGUGAGGUGGUAUUUCUGAUUUUUAUAUGAUAGAGGAUGUCAGAUACACAUUAGAAAGAUGAUUCAAUAUAUUGCAAGCCCUUCUCCAGCUACAGAAAUUCAAAGCACACUGGUUUCACUGUCUGAAGCAGUCCUUAGCCAUCUGACUCUAUGCUAGAGGAAGCCUGGACAAACAUUUCUGGAAGGACUAAAAUAGCUCAGUGAUGGAUGUUGGAGGUAACAAGGUUUCUGGGCUGGAAGGAAACUGCUGCUGUGAAAAGCUUGAAAUGAGUGAGCACCUGUUCUGGUAGGAGUGCUGCAACUGGGCCUUUCUUUGUCUCUCCUUUGUUCCUUCAUUACAAAAUCCUUUCUCACUCCGCACCUAGCCCCUGUCAGCAGUCCUGUGCACAAAGAAGACAGGCCUUCUCAUGUGAACAAGUACCUAUAUUUACGGGUUUCUGGGUAGCACCAGCUGUCCCUCUUGGCAAUACUGCUCUGCACUUUCCCCUACUGGAGUUCCAGUCUAAAGAAUGCACAGCUGAACCAUGGCAUUCCUGCU
RNAcentral lists this long non-coding RNA (704 nucleotides) under Anas platyrhynchos platyrhynchos (common mallard). RNAcentral's name for it is "lncRNA (ENSAPLG00000019139.1)". Lineage: Eukaryota; Metazoa; Chordata; Aves; Anseriformes; Anatidae. The record is from RNAcentral.